UUGAAAGAGGGUUAAAUAGUACGUGAAAUUGUUGAAAGGGAAGCGCUUGUGACCAGACUUGGGCGCGGCGGAUCAUCCGGGGUUCUCCCCGGUGCACUUCGCCGCGUCCAGGCCAGCAUCAGUUCGUCGCGGGGGAAAAAGGCUUCGGGAACGUGGCUCCCUCGGGAGUGUUAUAGCCCGUUGCGUAAUACCCUGCGGUGGACUGAGGACCGCGCAUCUGCAAGGAUGCUGGCGUAAUGGUCACCAGCGACCCGUCUUGAAACACGGACCAAGACGCUGGGUCGUUG
Molecule: ribosomal RNA, 287 nt
Filed under: Trichoderma sp. BAB-2298
Lineage: Eukaryota; Fungi; Ascomycota; Sordariomycetes; Hypocreales; Hypocreaceae
Description: partial 28S ribosomal RNA
Rfam family: Eukaryotic large subunit ribosomal RNA
Source: RNAcentral